AUGUGAUAAAAUAAUACCCUAAAGCCUAGCCUUCAUCUUUUUCAUUUAUCCUUUCUUCUUGACCGAAAAUAUCAGCCAUAGGAGGGUUUUGGAAGCUUGAAAAAUUUCAGCCACUUAAUCUCCCUACAAAUCAAGAAUUACAAAAUCCAGGCAUAGACCGGGGAAAAGCAAAGUAAGUGGACUAAGCUGAACUAGUCGCCUACAUUUUGUAAUUCGAGUACCGCCUAACUAGCUCGAGGAUCAAUAGACGUCGGAGGCAUCAAUCACACUAUCAGUUGAAGCACUCGGUAUAAUUAGAUUUAUCAUUUUGAAUAUGGCAUGUAUAGGAACUUAGACUUUUGAGUUUUGUGUCAUUGUUAAUUGGCCAAAUGUGAUGACUUACCUUAGCAUUUGAUUCAUUUUGUAUAAGGCCACAGAAAAUGGCUAAUAUUGGAAGUUAUUAUAUGAAUGCAAGAUAGUCUUUCAUGAA
Gossypium arboreum is the source of this 469-nucleotide long non-coding RNA. RefSeq lists it as uncharacterized. Lineage: Eukaryota; Viridiplantae; Streptophyta; Magnoliopsida; Malvales; Malvaceae. The record is from RefSeq and is a predicted model, not a curated record. The transcript has 3 exons.